Molecule: non-coding RNA, 2539 nt
Organism: Lolium perenne
Lineage: Eukaryota; Viridiplantae; Streptophyta; Magnoliopsida; Poales; Poaceae
Source: RefSeq, a predicted model, not a curated record
UUCUGCAUAGCCUUUUCUUCAUGGAUAGUUUCUAUUGUGAGUUCUGCUCACAGCCUCACAGGGCUAGGUGGAGAGCUUAUUAGUAUCUUAGUAGUGCUCACUACCUCGAUGUCUUGAUGCACACUACUACUCUGUUGGUUCUCUGCUUAAAUGAGGCAUCAAAUAUUCACUCUGCCAAAGUAGUGAAUAUAUGAAUGGUAUUCUUGAUUAGGGUAUUUCUCAAUAUCUCUCUGCUGAUUUAGUCAAUAACUAUAGUAGCCUGACAAUUAGUCCUUGGUGAAGGUAAUUUACCUCUCCCUCAUUACAUAUCUGGAUACAUGUGGUGGUUGCAUUCCUUUACUAAAGCUUGGUAUUUUUGUGUCUCCGGUGAAGCUCCGGUGGAUGGCGGUGAGAUGCAUGGCAUUUCUUCAGAGCCUUAUAUGCAUCGUUAUGAUUAUGCAUGAUUUAUAGUGUGUUCCAACCAGAGUUGUUCCUUUAUUGACUAAUAUCAAUGAGAAGUAUAUGUAGCUUAUCCCAACCUCUUGAAGGUUAUGUUCUUCAAUUUUUUUUUUGUGUUGGACUGCACACAAUGUUUUCUUUGUCUUUACAUCUUGUUUUCACUGGUCCCCGUUUUUCUUGUGCAGUUAUCUUAAUUUCCCUGUAAAUGUUCAUUUGGGCAAUUAUAAUCCCAGCUUCUUCAAGGUUUCAGCUGAUGGAGAAUCAAACUUAAAUCGAUGGACGGAGCUCCGUUAGGUAUUACAGGGGAAAGCAGUAUCUAUGUUUUCUGAAUUCUGGCUUGAUUUAUGUUGUUAAUGUUGCAAAAUAGCAAUAUUGAUGAAAUAGUGUAUUUUUUCACGAACUGAUUGAAUGGUUUGCUCUUAGAAAAUAAAUCUGCAUAUGUACUAUUUAUUUCGAUUUCUACGCAAUGCAUAGCUCGGAGUUCAUCCUAGGGUGCCUCUGUGAUCUCUACUCAGUUAUUGACUUGCUUUCUGAUGCUUCGGUUUUUCUUCUAGGAGGAUGGCAUAUCUCGGUUUGUGUACACCACCUGGGUUCAUGUGCGGUGGACAAUGGUUCGAGCAACCCUGAUGUGCAAGUGUUAUUAAUAAUCUGAUGUUUCAAGUUAUCUGUAUUGGCUCAUGUUAUUUGAGCUGCCCUGUAGCAUUAAUCAUGUAAUGAACCAAAUGAUCAAUAUGAUCGCCACCUAUGAUGAGUAUGAUGGCUGAAUGUUACGUCACGAGGAUCAGAUCGUUUCUCUACUACAACAAGACAGGAAUCUGAAAGAUUUGUGCAGAGGGCCUCAACCUGGUUUCAUGGUCGAGCUCUCAACAGCUGCUGCUCCCAAUCCUUAAUGACCACAUUGCCACCCGCGUCGUCGCUGCUGCAGCAUUCUGCAGCACUGAUAUUGACCUCUCCACUUCUGUCAUGCCCUGUACGGAGCCGUCGGCUGCCUCUCAUCGCCUCCAGUUUACCCGCUUCCACAAUUCCAUCACUCUUGAGAAACUUCAAGAGCAAGAGGCGUUUCGUUUCUUUGUAAUCUCUACGGCAGGAACCGUGUUUUGCUACAUCAUAUCUUGCUUGAUGGGACUUUGCAUGCACGCGGACCAUGAAACUCACUCAUGGAAGUGGGAAUUGGAUACCUAGAAUUCAAAAAGUUAUUGUGUGGUUAUAUUUAGAAAUAUUUUAUAAAUUGCUUGUUGGCUUGUGCUAAUAUGUAUUAUAUUGAGUUAUUGUCUUUCUAAUAAGAUUUUCAGAUAUUUUGAAUCAUGUUGAUAUGCUAAUUGGAUCUUUGAUUGUAUUCAAUAUGGUCGCUGACUUGUUACACUAUUUCGGAGAUCUAGCAGUGUAAAAUAAAGUAUAUGAAAAUCUGAACUCGCAGAUUUUUGGUAGUUGCACUACGUAUCAUCAGUUUUAUAGCAGUUUUAUGUGGUUGGUGCUAAUUAAUUCAUUUGAUAUUACCAUCAGGAACAGUAUUUUGCUACAUCAUAUCUUGCUUGAUGGGACUUUGCAUGCACACUGACUAUUUUGAGCAUCAAAGAUCUUGAAUAUGGUGCUUAAAAUUAAAUAAUCUAUUUUUCCGUUCUAUGAUAAAAAGAAUUGUGAAUUAUGUUCUAUGAUAUGUAGGCCAGUAUAUAAACGCUUAGCACACUAUGUAAUUAGUUUUGAGUCAUGUAUUUUCUUCUCUAUGCUUUGUACACCAGUAUAUAAGUGCUUAGUACUACAUAUAGCCAUGUGGCUACCUAAUUGUGUGCUUCAAUCUCUCCUUUUUAGCUAUUAAUUAUUAUAUAUGAGAAGUACAUAAUUAAUACCAGAGGCUGGCAUUUGAGAUCAAGGGCUGGGGUCAAUGAUUACUUGAUUAGCAAUAUGUGUUUAGGUGAAGAGCAUGUCGUGAUUACUCUUUACGGUUUUAUCGAGUGCAUUCACCAUUGUGCAUGUAUAUGUGUUGUUUUUUAGAGCUAUACAUUUUCUUGCAAAUUCUUGCAAAACAAACUCACCAAUUCUGCCCUGCUUCAGCUCCUUUGUAAGCCAUUUGGUUAAUUCGGUCUCCAAACUGGUCCAUCAA